UGGAUCUGUUCCGUGUGCCCCAACGGACACAGCUCCGUUGCAGCAAGCCCAGAGGAGGUGACAGAGUUGGAAAGGGGACUGGAGCUCCCCUCUGAGCCUGAGAAAGCUGGGCCUGUUCAGCCUGGAGGGGAGAAGGCUCUGGGGACACCUCACAGCCCCUUCCAGUGUCUGAAGGGGUGGAGAGCAGAGCCAGAGAGGGACUCUUCACCAGGAGCUGCAGGGAGAGGGCAACGGGGAAUGGCUUCACACUGACAGAGGGGAAAUUUAGGCAAGCCCAGUCAAGCCUUCCAAAGCACUGAAGACAACCAGAGGCCUUUCAAAAUGGCUUCUCAAAGCCUCUCCAUAAAGGCUUCCCAAGCACGUUCCUGUCUCCUCUUCCAGAGUGCAGAGAAAUUGCUCCAUCCCCGGCAAGUUCUCCGCUGAGUGGAGCACACGCACAUCAACUCGAUUUUAACAGGUCACGGAACAAGCCGGGCAUUUAAAAAUAUCCACCUACCCAAAAGGACAAAUGAAUCCGCACUGUGGAGCCCUCAGCAAAGAUGGUUGGAACAAAACAAACAAAACAAUCGUGGUAA
Molecule: long non-coding RNA, 575 nt
Organism: Vidua chalybeata
Lineage: Eukaryota; Metazoa; Chordata; Aves; Passeriformes; Viduidae
Exons: 2
Source: RefSeq, a predicted model, not a curated record